Molecule: ribosomal RNA, 253 nt
Filed under: uncultured bacterium
Lineage: Bacteria
Description: partial 16S ribosomal RNA
Rfam family: Bacterial small subunit ribosomal RNA
Source: RNAcentral
UACAGAGGGUGCGAGCGUUAAUCGGAAUUACUGGGCGUAAAGGGUGCGUAGGUGGUGACAUAAGUCAGGUGUGAAAUCCCCGAGCUUAACUUGGGAAUUGCGCUUGAGACUGUGUUGCUAGAGUGUUGUAGAGGAAAGUGGAAUUUCCGGUGUAGCGGUGAAAUGCGUAGAUAUCGGAAGGAACACCAGUGGCGAAGGCGGCUUUCUGGACAGACACUGACACUGAGGCACGAAAGCGUGGGUAGCAAACAGG